UAGCUAGUUGGUGAGGUAAAGGCUUACCAAGGCGACGAUCUGUAGCGGGUCUGAGAGGAUGAUCCGCCACACUGGAACUGAGACACGAUCCAGACUCCUACGGGAGGCAGCAGUGGGGAAUUUUGGACAAUGGGGGCAACCCUGAUCCAGCCAUGCCGCGUGAGUGAAGAAGGCCUUCGGGUUGUAAAGCUCUUUCGGCCGGGAAGAAAUCGCAUGGGCCAAUACCCUGUGUGGAUGACGGUACCGGAAUAAGAAGCACCGGCUAACUACGUGCCAGCAGCCGGGGUAAUACGUAGGGUGCGAGCGUUAAUCGGAAUUACUGGGCGUAAAGCGUGCGCAGGCGGUUUUGUAAGACAGGCGUGAAAUCCCCGGGCUUAACCUGGGAACUGCGUUUGUGACUGCAAGGCUAGAGUACGGCAGAGGGGGGUGGAAUUCCACGUGUAGCAGUGAAAUGCGUAGAGAUGUGGAGGAACACCAAUGGCGAAGGCAGCCCCCUGGGUCGAUACUGACGCUCAUGCACGAAAGCGUGGGUAGCAAACAGGAUUAGAUACCCUGGUAGUCCACGCCCUAAACUAUGUCAACUAGGUGUUGGGUGGGUAAAACCAUUUAGUACCGUAGCUAACGCGUGAAGUUGACCGCCUGGGGAGUACGGCCGCAAGGCUAAAACUCAAAGGAAUUGACGGGGACCCGCACAAGCGGUGGAUGAUGUGGAUUAAUUCGAUUCAACGCGAAAAACCUUACCUACCCUUGACAUGCCAGGAACUUGCCAGAGAUGGCUUGGUGCCCGAAAGGGAGCCUGGACACAGGUGCUGCAUGGCUGUCGUCAGCUCGUGUCGUGAGAUGUUGGGUUAAGUCCCGCAACGAGCGCAACCCUUGUCGUUAAUUGCCAUCAUUUAGUUGGGCACUUUAACGAGACUGCCGGUGACAAACCGGAGGAAGGUGGGGAUGACGUCAAGUCCUCAUGGCCCUUAUGGGUAGGGCUUCACACGUCAUACAAUGGUCGGUACAAAGGGUUGCCAAGCCGCGAGGCGGAGCCAAUCCCAGAAAGCCGAUCGUAGUCCGGAUUGCAGGCUGCAACUCGCCUGCAUGAAGUCGGAAUCGCUAGUAAUCGUGGAUCAGCAAGUCACGGUGAAUACGUUCCCGGGUCUUGUACACACCGCCCGUCACACCAUGGGAGCGGGUUCCGCCAGAAGUAGGUAGCCUAACCGCAAGGGGGGCGCUUACCACGGCGGGGUUCGUGACUGGGGUGAAGUCGUAACAAGGUAGCCGUAGGGGAACCU
This 1280-nucleotide ribosomal RNA is filed under the name metagenome. RNAcentral's name for it is "bacterial SSU rRNA". It matches the Rfam family "Bacterial small subunit ribosomal RNA", at positions 242 to 1513 of the family's 1533-position model. The record is from RNAcentral.